GGAAUUGUGGGGGGCACAGGGGAUUGCAGGAGGCAAGAGGGUUAUUGGGCGGCAUGGAGCAUUAUGGACGGCACAAGGAUUGUGGGAGGCACUAGAGAUUGUGGGAGACACAGGAUAUUAUGGGUGGCGCACAGAGCCACUUAAGUGCCCUCUCUGUGAGUACAAGGGAUCCUGGGGCUGUGCACCCACUGUGGGCGCAGGGGACAAUGACAGGAACGCUAGCUCUUUGCUAGUUGCUUGGUAUGUAGGUGCAUAGGGAGAGAGGAGGCAGGCUCAUGGAGCAGAAGUGACACAGAGGUAGUGAGAUUAGAUAGGAGAGGGCAGAGAGCAGUCAGGGUCUGUUUAGAGACAGGUACUAUGAGUAGUGCUUAAGAGCAGAGGGUUUGUAGCCAGGGAAUCUGAAGUUUGAAUCUUCUUUCUGAACGUCUUGAGUGAACUUGAACCUAAAUUUCCUAAUCUGGAAAGUUCAGAUAAUAACACCUACCUUCCCAGACUGGUGAAGAUUAAAUGAGAAAAUGUAUAAUAAAAUACUUAGUAGUGGCUGACACAGAAUAAGCACUCAGUAAAUAUUCUUAUUAUUAGGCAAGUAUUACAGAGGAAGUAUUGAGAGAAAAGGCACUCAGCUGGCUGUGGGCAGGGGCAUGAGAUGGUUUAUCAUUCUGGGAGGCACAGGUCUGUUCCUUCACGGCUCCUGCUCUCUGUGCAGCUGGAACCAUAGACUCCAUUUCCUGUGAAUCCCCUUUCUCACUUUGCUGGGGAAGGAAGAUGUGGGAUCAGAGGUUUGGAGGCAGCCCAAAGGGCAGGUCUAGGCAUUGGCCAGAGUCCCAAGGAUUUUCCUCUGCCUGAGGUACCCAAGUGACCAGGGCAAGUUCCAGAUAACAGAUAAAAUGCAAAUUAAAUGGCCCCAUACGUGUCUGCCUGCUGCCUGUCACCUGCAACCCUCCCUUCUCUUGUCACUUAGGGAGCUGAGAGAGUGACAGCUGGGGAGCCCCAGGCCCCAGUGACACCUGCUCAAUCUCUCCCUGCCUUUUGCUUUAGCUGCCUGGAUCCCAGUCUGGACUGGAUCAGGGGUCAGCAGGACAAACAUGGCAGCCGGAGUCCCCAGAGGCUGCCUGGGCUCCCCGUGUCCCCACCCCAGCUCUGCCCUGCCUUUCCUGUUAACUGCAUAUUUCUCAGUAGCAAAACAGAGCCUCUCUGAAUCUACUUGUGAGUCUUCUCUUCUUGGAAAAGCACUUCUUUGGUUGCUGCUUUGUAAGACAAUAUAUAACUGAUUGUUUCUCCAAGACAAAAAGAAAAUUCCUAUUGCUAAAAUCAAAUAUAGUCCCUUCUACUUUGCUUCUGUGCUUCUGCACAGAAAAUAACUUUUCGUUUCAAUGCUGAAUUACAAUGUAAUCUUGGAGGACAUUUUAAAUGGCAAACUCAAAAUAUGUUGUACCAACACUGCAGAGAGCUCAGCGAGCUGACACCAAGACCAUCAAUCACUGAGCACUCAACAUGCCUAUAGAUGACAAUUAUGUCAUGUCUGCCGCCUGGCCAACUGCAGUGAUGACGCCAUUAAUCCUAAAGACAUCCUAAUUUCAGAGAUACUAAAACAUGAGGGGGGAAAGGUGUGCUUCAAUAGACAAAAUGCAGUUGUUUUGUAAAAAUAUCAUUUAACAACCUGAAUUUUUCAUUCACUCUUGUAUCCUCAACAUACUUCCAUGUCAAGGAAUAUCUGUAUCGACACUCUUAAAAUAAUUUUGGAUUCCAUUUCCUUUCAUUACGUCCCAUUGACUGAAUUUAUUAGUCACCAAAUCGUGUUUGCAAGUGAGUCAGGUGCUUCCUUUUUUACAGAAUUAUGAAUGAUGAUGCAAAGAGUAUCUCUAAAGAUAAAUAAUUGAACACAUCUUUUGUGAUUUUUAAAAGACCUUGAUACACAUUGCAUGAUUAACGUUUGAGCUUGGUACCAAGCAAAAUGGGCAAAAAUAUUCCUUGCCUGAGAUCUUUAGUGUUACAAGCCUUCCUUGUUUCUAUAUGAGUCACUGCUACAACUCCGCUAAUACCUUCUCAGACCAAGAAUAUCACAAAUCUUGUCAUGUAUCAACAAACUGUCUCUCCUCAGUUAGAAUUGUGAGACUGAGCAAAUAAAAACACAGGAUGUCCAGUUAAAUUUUAACUUCAAAUAAACAAAUACAUACUUUUUAAGUGUAAGUAGGUCCCAAGCCAUAUUUGGGGCAUAUGUGUACUAAAAAGUAUUCAUUGUUAAUCUGGCAUGUGAAAUUAACUAGGAAUGCUAUAUUUUACAUGGCAAUCCUAUCUCAGUGUAUUCUUGGAGUCUGCAGGAUCCUGUGCUGCUAAUAUACUGCCCUGCCUUAGCUCUUUAUGGAAGCUGAAGCUCAGCUUCCUUAGAGUUACUCGAUUCCUUAAGCACACGAUUUUUUGAAGUUGUGUUUAAGCUUGUCUUCCAUUACCUGAAAGGUGAUGUCAACCAUGUAGGGCCACAGGAUUCCAGUAGCCUCAGAAUCCUAAGACAGAGACUUUCAGCCCAGCUUAGCCCCUUAGCUGUGUUACUUCUGUCUCCCAGAGCUUCCAUUUUUCCUACAUAAAAAUAUUAGGAACCAUAUUAGGGGGAACAAAAAUAUUGGGGAGAAGGACCCCCCUCAGUAUUGCUAUAUAAAAACAGCAAUGGACUGACUUACCUUAAAGGAUUUAUAAACUGCAAAACAUUAUGAGCUAAAAAUCAUGGGGGAAAGUCCCAUGAAGCCAGAACUUUAGAAAUAUUAUCUUUUCCCAGGUUUGUGCUGCUGUGAUCUCCUCUGCCAGUCACCUGUACUGCUCACUCCCAUUCGCCACCCUCCCCCCACCCCAACCAGACACAUGAAGCUCCCCUGCGGGCAGGCAUAAAAAAAUCCCAGCUAUUCUUUUUUUAUGAUUUUUAUUUUUUCCAUUAUAGUUGAUUUACAGUGUUCUGUCAAUUUCUACUAUACAGCAAAGUGACCCAGUCAUACAUGUAUAUAUAUAUAAUUCAUUCUUUUUCUCACAUCAUCCUCCAUCAUGUUCCAUCACUUGACUAGGUAUAUUCCCUGGGCUGAACAGCAGGAUCUCAUUGCUUAUCCACUUCAAAUGCAAUAGCUUGCAUCUAUUAACCCCAAACUCCCAGUCCAUCCUAUUCCCUCCCUUGCCCCCUUGGCAACCACAAGUCUGUUCUCCCAAGUCCAUGAGUUUCUUUUCUGUGGAGAAGUUCAUUCAUGCUGUAUGUUAGAUUCCAAAUACAGGAAUGGCUUAGCUCAAGAUGCUGCACAUAGAAGGCCAGAGACAACUGGGGAAGUCAUCUUCUUCCAAAGCUUGGGGAAAAGCAUUCAAAGAGAUUCCUGUGUUUUAUGAGCAGGACUUUAAUUAGACUGAAGGGCUGCUUCUUCAAUCUAGGCUGCGUAAAGGGCACUAGAAAGUAAUCAAUAACCCAGACAACAGUUUGGAACCAGGAAAAAAAUCGAUCAAGUUAGCCUCAACUAUUCUGGAUAUUUUGGCUGAAUUUGUGAGCAGGCUAGGACCGUCAAAAAGAAGAUCAACCGUCAGUGCUUUGUUAAACUGUGAUGUCUCAAGGAGGCCGAGGAGCACCAGGCAUGAGAUGAAUCUUUAGGAACAGAUGGUAGCGAUUGUCUAGCUCUUUAAAACUGAUAAAAAUGUGUACACAAUUUUGGGCCAGGGAAUGUAUUCUUAAGCAGCACACAGAGCCUCAGAUCAAGAAAUUCUAACAUCAGAGGCUUAAAAUAAUAAUGUCAAAAGAAAAAAAAAAUCGGGGGAACAAUAUUAGCUAUCUAGAGCACAGUCACAUUUCUUUAGUUUACAAUACAUUCGUAUAAAUGGAGAUUGAAUAAUUCAAGACAGAAAGAAAGAACGUGUAAUGUACAGAAAAAUAAACACAUGAAAACAUAGUUAACAUCACUCAUCACGAUAGAAAUGGGGAUGAGAGAUCAAUUCUCAGUGAGCACAUAGGUUAAAAUUAAAAAGCUGAUCAAUAUCCAGUAUUGGUCACCCCGUGGGCAAGCUGCCAUUCUCAAAGGCUGUUGCCGGAAAUGUUAAUCAUCUCCUUUUCAAAGGAUAACUUGCCAGUAUCUAUUAAAACUGGAAAUACAUCCUUCGUGGUACAGUCAUUCUAUUACUGGGAGUUUAUAAAUACAUUCACAAAAGGACACUAAGAUGUAUAUAAAAAGAUUCAUUGCAACAUGUUAAGAUGGAAAAACUGAAAAACAGACUAAAUAUCUGUAUGGUAGACUGAUGAUGUAAAUAAUACAGCCAUACAAUGUAAUACCAUGCAGAUAUUUUUUUUAUUUAUUCAACAUGUAUUCUUUUUUUCCUUUUUUGUUAUUCAAUGAAUUUAUUACAUUUGUGGAUGUACAGUGAUCAUCACAAUCCAAUUUUAUAGGAUUUCUAUCCCACAACCCCAGUGCAUACCCCCACCCCUUAAACUGUCUCCUUUGGAGACCAUAAGUUUUUCAAAGUCUGUGAGUCAGUAUUUGUUCUGCAAAGAAGUUCAUUCUGUCCUUUUUUCAGAUUCCACAUGUCAGUGAAAGCAUUGGAUGUUGGUGUUGCAUUGUAUGGCAGACUUCACUUAGCAUGAUCGUUUCUAGGUCCAUCCAUGUUGCUAAAAAUUCGUGCAGAUAUUUAGAAAAAGACCAGGAAUUGGGGUAAGAAUGAUGAUUUAUGCCUUUCCUCCCCAAUCCAAAAUUUGUCAGAAUGUAUUUGGUAUAAGUAGUAGUAGAUAAAUAAAUACUUGUGCGCAUUGGAUAUAUAUUUAUUUGGAGGUAAUAGCAAAUUUUCUUUCCUUGAGGAGUACAAAGAUGAUGGUAGUUCCAAAACAACUGAUGAUUGUUCCUUUGGGGAGUGGGCUAGUGGUUGGGAGGUGAGGGGAGAGGGCUUUUGCCUUUGGGUUUCACCUUGCGUAGAGAUAUGAUUAGAUGCAGAGCUCCAAGGCUGCUGAACUUGGCAACAGACACAGGAAGAUAUGGUCUCUUGUCCAAGAGCUGAGAACAGGUGUAGAGAGACAUCAAAGGACUAGGAUUUCUGUACAGACACAGGCUGGCUGGCUUGACAUGAGCGGUCACAGGAAAGCUGCAAGCACCAACAGAUAUGACCUCUGAUUGGAAGCAGAGAGCUCUGACCCUCAGCAGUCUGAGGGCCAGUCAAGGUCAGAGUUAGGGGAGCUUUCACUUAGGGAGUCACUCAGUUCACAGGGUUUGCAGCAUAGGUGUCUAGUGUGUUAAGUGGAUAUAGGGAGGGGGGCCCAGUCCAGUACCAGAGGCAUGAAUAUUUUCCUCCAGGGACCACGCUGGGCCUGAGCUCUGAAGGAGGCAUAGGAAUUGUCUUGGCAAAGGGGUGGGGAUGGAAAGGUACCAGGCAGAGGGGGCAGCACGUGUGAAGCUGUGAGGCAGGGAGCAGAAGGCCAGCUCCCGCGGCUGGAGCAGAUAUGAUGUGGGAGGAGGCGCACGAAGCGACCUUGAGGUGGGCAAGGGCCUAGCCAACGGGACAUGGGGGCAAAGUUUGGGGUUUCGUCUUUAUCCCCAGAGCACUGGGAAGCUGUUGAAGCGUGUUACUUGUAUCUAGACCAGAUCUCGUGUAUUCAACAGUGAGAAGAGGGGGAUGGAAGAGAGGAAGUUAGGAGGCUUUGGUGACGUUCACAGGAGAGAUGAUCAUGUGGGAACCACAGAGCUGAUGCUAAAGUUGGAUAGAAGCUUAGGGGUGCCUCUUGUGAUCUCUGCUUCAAAAGCACCCCACCAGGUGGCAUAACUGCCAUUCUGAGCUGCCUUGAACUGUGGAGAUGGGGGUGGGCAUGGGGACCAAAGGAAAACAAAAUGAAAAAGAUCCACAGAGCUGAACACCAGUCACGGGAGCUCCAGACUCUGUACAACAUGGGUUUGCAGCUCACAUUCCCAUCUGCGCUCUGGGCCUCCCUCCACACCCAGGAAGUGGGAUUCACAAAAACAGUGAUUACUUCUGUGCAUUAGCAUUAGACUUUAACACUGACCAACUUCGAGAAUGGUAAUCAUUGUGUUCUGGGGGAAUUCACUUAAUUUCCAGAUAUUGACUCCCUGCUAUUUCCCUUUUUCAGCAUCAUUCAUUCUUACUUCUCAUUAAUCCUUAGGGGCAGGACCAUCUCUUGGCAAAAUUGUGAAUUAGGAGAGCUCAAGGCCCUGGGCUUUUUAAGGUUCUUUCCUGCCUUUAGUACUUCAUCCUCUUGUAGGCUGACAUAAGGAAGGGGAGCCUCAGAGAGGCUGCACAGGCCUAAAAAUCCACAUGCACACCAUGCCUUUGAGUGGAUGUGGGUACUGUUGUGAUUGAUGAAAUAAACAUUUAUUUCCGUGUUCUACUGAAUGCAAUAUAACUUCUGGUCAUUACGUAGUUUCUUAAUCAAAAGAUUCUAAAGGUAUAACCUGUUAUGUGGGGGAUGGGUUCUAUGGAUUUCUUUAAAAGGGGAUAUUAUACUUAACUGAUAGACUAGGGCAAAGGGUCUGACAGAGAAGGACAAAGUGUUUUUCAUUCAAUAAAUAGUUAUUGCGUACCCAUUCCAAGCCAUGAAUGAGACAUAGUCCCAGUCCUCAAAACACAUCGAGUCUGGUGGGAGAUAGUAAACAGUAAUGGGAACACUGGAGAAAAGCUGAUUUUCAGUAGAAGAUAAGCUGUUUGGUUGGAAAUCAGUUCAGUUUUAGGAUGUAGGGACAUUGGGCUACUCCUUGGGUAAACUUUUUGAAUGGGGAACCUCUAGAGGGGUAAAUUUCUCAGACUGAGAAAGACAAAUACUUAUGAUUUCACUCAUA
RNAcentral lists this long non-coding RNA (6794 nucleotides) under Sus scrofa (pig). RNAcentral's name for it is "lncRNA (ENSSSCG00000052156.1, ENSSSCG00105027825.1, ENSSSCG00130037930.1)". Lineage: Eukaryota; Metazoa; Chordata; Mammalia; Artiodactyla; Suidae. The record is from RNAcentral.